AUUAAGUCAAUUAAUACAUCAGAUGAGUGGUACUACAUAGGAUGCGGCAAAUGUAACAAAAAACUACAAAAAGAAGGGAAUCACUUCUACUGUCCAAAAUGUGAGAAAGAACCUGAGAGGACAUGUCCAAGGUACAAACUUAAGCUAGAGAUAUGUGAUCAUACUGCAAUAACAACUUGCACCAUGUUUGAGACAGAAGCAAAAAAACUGAUUAAGCAAUCUGCAAGAUUCUUGAUAGAUAGGGAUGACUAUGAUAUCCAUGAGCAGGCAGAAAAAAUUCAGAAAAUAUGUGGGCAGAGAUUGAUUUUUUAG
RNAcentral lists this ribosomal RNA (312 nucleotides) under Triticum aestivum (bread wheat). RNAcentral describes it as "partial small subunit ribosomal RNA". Lineage: Eukaryota; Viridiplantae; Streptophyta; Magnoliopsida; Poales; Poaceae. The record is from RNAcentral.